This 490-nucleotide ribosomal RNA is filed under the name uncultured bacterium. RNAcentral describes it as "partial 16S ribosomal RNA". It matches the Rfam family "Bacterial small subunit ribosomal RNA", at positions 30 to 507 of the family's 1533-position model. The record is from RNAcentral.
AUUGAACGCUGGCGGCAGGCCUAACACAUGCAAGUCGAAUGGUAACAGGAAACAGCUUGCUGUUUCGCUGACGAGUGGCGGACGGGUGAGUAAUGUCUGGGAAACUGCCUGAUGGAGGGGGAUAACUACUGGAAACGGUAGCUAAUACCGCAUAACGUCGCAAGACCAAAGAGGGGGACCUUCGGGCCUCUUGCCAUCAGAUGUGCCCAGAUGGGAUUAGCUAGUAGGUGGGGUAACGGCUCACCUAGGCGACGAUCCCUAGCUGGUCUGAGAGGAUGACCAGCCACACUGGAACUGAGACACGGUCCAGACUCCUACGGGAGGCAGCAGUGGGGAAUAUUGCACAAUGGGCGCAAGCCUGAUGCAGCCAUGCCGCGUGUAUGAAGAAGGCCUUCGGGUUGUAAAGUACUUUCAGCGGGGAGGAAGGGAGUAAAGUUAGUACCUUUGCUCAUUGACGUUACCCGCAGAAGAAGCACCGGCUAACUCCGUG